AAUCUGGAGACAGGUGCUGCAUGGCUGUCGUCAGCUCGUGUCGUGAGAUGUUGGGUUAAGUCCCGCAACGAGCGCAACCCUUGCCUUUAGUUUGCCAGCAGUUCGGCUGGGCACUCUAAAGGGACUGCCGGUGUUAAACCGGAGGAAGUGGGGAUGACGUCAAGUCCUCAUGGCCUUUAUGACCAGGGCUACACACGUACUACAAUGGCCGAUACAAAGGGCAGCGACACUGCGAGGUGAAGCCAAUCCCGUAAAAUCGGUCUCAGUCCGGAUUGGAGUCUGCAACUCGACUCCAUGAAGUUGGAAUCGCUAGUAAUCGUGGAUCAGCAUGCCACGGUGAAUACGUUCCCGGGCCUU
RNAcentral lists this ribosomal RNA (357 nucleotides) under uncultured Desulfobulbus sp. RNAcentral's name for it is "bacterial SSU rRNA". It matches the Rfam family "Bacterial small subunit ribosomal RNA", at positions 1025 to 1382 of the family's 1533-position model. The record is from RNAcentral. Lineage: Bacteria; Pseudomonadati; Thermodesulfobacteriota; Desulfobulbia; Desulfobulbales; Desulfobulbaceae.